AGGACUAACGCUGGCGGCGUGCCUAACACAUGCAAGUCGAACGAGAGUAGCAAUACUCUAGUGGCAGACGGGUGAGUAACACGUGGUCAACCUACCUCUAUGUGGGGGAUAACUAGCCGAAAGGUUAGCUAAUACCGCAUACGAUCGUCGAGCGGCAUCGCUUGACGAUGAAAGGAGCAAUCCGCAGAGAGACGGGACCGCGUCCCAUUAGCUAGUUGGUGGGGUAAUGGCCUACCAAGGCGACGAUGGGUAGCUGGCUUGAGAGAGCGACCAGCCACACUGGGACUGAGACACGGCCCAGACUCCUACGGGAGGCAGCAGUGAGGAAUUUUCCGCAAUGGGCGAAAGCCUGACGGAGCGACGCCGCGUGUGGGAAGAAGGCCUUCGGGUCGUAACCACUGUCGAGGGAAGAUAUUGACGGUACCCUUGGAGGAAGCCCGGCUAACUACGUGCCAGCAGCCGC
Molecule: ribosomal RNA, 463 nt
Filed under: uncultured bacterium
Lineage: Bacteria
Description: SSU rRNA
Rfam family: Bacterial small subunit ribosomal RNA
Source: RNAcentral